UUUCCCACCUUUAUUCCUAUGUGAAUUGUAAAUGAAUUUUUAAAAUCACAUGAGCAAUUUCUUUGGGUGCAGUGAGCAGCCUUUGUAUGUUUAUUCAUUGUUGCCAGUAUACUCCAGAUUUAAUAAAUAUUUGAAAAAACAAUCAGGACUUAAAAAAUGCAAUAUUCUUCUCACUGUAUUGGGCCAAAGACCCUCAAUCAUAAUAUUUUAAAGCCCAAACAUAUAGUUUCAAGUUCAGAAGAAAGUCCUAAGUCAAAGUUUUCACUUUGAACAUAAAACAGAACAGAGGAAGGUUGACUUCCCCACGACUGUUAUCUGAGAUUAAGGAAGAAGAGGAAAGGAAACUUAAAAUCAUAAGAUUUUGACUUAGAAGGGACUCUGAAAUUAUAGAGCAUAACCCUAAGCCGUAGAAAGAGAGCUGCCUUUGGAGUCGGAGACUCGAGUUCAAAUCCUACUUCUACCAACUUGAAUCCUUUACAAAACACUUACUAUCUCUAGGCCUCAGUUUCCUCAUCUGUAAUAUUAAAGGACUGGUCGAGAUGGAUUCUGGCAUCUCUCCCUGCCCUAAACCUCUAUCCUUAAGAAUGGGAAGCUCCGAGGACGAGGGAGUCACUUUCCCAAAGUCACAGAGAAGACACCCUGUUUUCCAGAGGAAAAACCCAGAAGUGGUCAAUGAUCCUUUGAGCUCACCCUCUGGAUGAACUCAACUACAGCAAAAUCCCAGAAUUGUUUCAUACCAGCACCAACUGGUUCCUGAACUCAGACAAAUACUUGUAGAAACCACAUUCCAGUCAAGAAGCCCUGUUGUGAAUCAAGCUUUUCUCAUUUUUUUUUUUUGUUGUUGUUAAUCAGCAUUAUGAGAGCUACAGCUCACUGAAUAGCCAUUGGUAAAUGUACUGAGAUUUGCCCACAUUAAAACAGAUCAAGAGAA
Antechinus flavipes (yellow-footed antechinus) is the source of this 931-nucleotide long non-coding RNA. RefSeq lists it as uncharacterized. The transcript has 2 exons. The record is from RefSeq and is a predicted model, not a curated record. NCBI's taxonomy places the organism in Eukaryota, Metazoa, Chordata, Mammalia, Dasyuromorphia, Dasyuridae.